CAGGGAGGACAAAGUACGCUCGAAAACUGUCAGAUCUUACAGGAUGAUAAUGCGAGGGCCGAGUCCAAUGUGUUUAGUGGAAGUGGAUAGUUGAUCCAGAGAUUCUAAAGGCGAUGGCUACCCUGUGCUGUGGCUUAAACCAUUCAAGAAAUCAGAACCAUGUGUCUCUUCUCUCUUUCCCUAAUUUAUCUAAUUUACGACGUUGUGUAACUUCUUGUAGAAUUCAUCCUAGCAUUGAAGGGGAAACUGGAAACUAGUAUUGCUGCAUGUUCUCCCACUCGGAUAGGAAAUAUUUGUAUCAAUCUGCACUGCACAGAAUGUCAUCCCCUGCCUUUUGAUAUAUGAGAAAUUUGGCUCAGCAUUUUCUUCA
Molecule: long non-coding RNA, 370 nt
Organism: Malus domestica (apple)
Lineage: Eukaryota; Viridiplantae; Streptophyta; Magnoliopsida; Rosales; Rosaceae
Source: RefSeq, a predicted model, not a curated record